GGGCCGGUGGCGGAACUGGCAGACGCGCACGCCUUAGGAGCGUGUGUCCGUAAGGACUUGUGGGUUCGACUCCCAUCCGGCCCA
RNAcentral lists this transfer RNA (84 nucleotides) under Elusimicrobiota bacterium. RNAcentral's name for it is "Elusimicrobia bacterium tRNA-Leu". It matches the Rfam family "tRNA". Rfam says of the family: Transfer RNA (tRNA) molecules are approximately 80 nucleotides in length. Their secondary structure includes four short double-helical elements and three loops (D, anti-codon, and T loops). The record is from RNAcentral. Lineage: Bacteria; Pseudomonadati; Elusimicrobiota.